UGGGGAAUAUUGCACAAUGGGCGAAAGCCUGAUGCAGCAACGCCGCGUGAGUGAAGAAGGUUUUCGGAUCGUAAAACUCUGUCUUUUGGGGCGAACGUGAGUAUGGUGAACAAUCAUAGUCAGUGACGGUACCAAAGGAGGAAGCCACGGCUAACUACGUGCCAGCAGCCGCGGUAAUACGUAGGUGGCAAGCGUUGUCCGGAAUUAUUGGGCGUAAAGAGCGCGUAGGCGGGAUAGUCAGUCUGUUGUAAAGUGCGGGGCUCAACCCCGUGAUCGCAAUGGAAACAGCUAUUCUUGAGUGCAGGAGAGGAAAGUGGGAUUCCCAGUGUAGCGGUGAAAUGCGUAGAUAUUGGGAGGAACACCAGUGGCGAAGGCGACUUUCUGGACUGUGUCUGACGCUGAGGCGCGAAAGCCAGGGGAGGCGAACCGGGAUUAGAUACCCCGGUAGUCCUGGCCGUAAACGAUGGGUACUAGGUGUGGGAGGUAUCGACCCCUUCCGUGCCGGAGUUAACGCAAUAAGUACCCCGCCUGGGGAGUACGGUCGCAAGACUGAAACUCAAAUGAAUUGACGGGGUC
Molecule: ribosomal RNA, 576 nt
Filed under: uncultured bacterium
Lineage: Bacteria
Description: partial 16S ribosomal RNA
Rfam family: Bacterial small subunit ribosomal RNA
Source: RNAcentral